AUGCACAUGACUGAAGUCCUUCCACAAGGACCUAGGAGUCAAACCAAGGAACAAGAGGGUCCCCAAGGGGGGAUACCCCAUGUGGCCGGCCACACCCCCCUGAGGGGCCCAAAAAAUGGUUCCUAUCCAUCCAUGUCAUCCCCAAGAUCUUUUGGAGCAAAGCCCCAAAAGGUGGCUUUCCAUAAACAAAUCAGGCCUGCUCUCCUAAAAAAAUCUAUUGGGCCUGAACUCAAAAGCCCCACUACCUUCCUGCUCGCCGGCCAGAGCUCCUCGGAGGGAGGUUGCUUCCUAUGUCUCGUGAUGUCAAGUGGACACAAUAAGAGAGAGAGAGAGAUCUGCUGGUGGAUAAGAGAGAACACGAGCUAUUGGCUCUCGGCGGGGUCCACGGAACCUGAAGUGAACCCGGGGCUGAGCUCGUACGCCGGGCGGCCCCAGGAGGCCGCCAAGUCGAUCGAACCUCUGCUCGAGAAGGCCGAGAGCGUUGUGCCUGGGUCGCUCAUGAACAGAACACCCCUUAAACUAGGGGCGACGGCUGGACUCAGACUCAUAGGAGACGCCCAGGCCGAGCAAAUUCUUGAAGCCGUCAGGGGUGUUGUCCACACCAAGAGCAAAUUUCAGUAUAAUCCUAGUUGGAUCAAUGUUCUCGAGGGAUCUCAGGAAGGAUCUUACUUAUGGGUUGCUCUAAACUAUCUGUUGGGUAAACUGGGAGGAGAGUACGCCAAGACGAUAGGUGUAAUUGACCUUGGAGGUGGGUCCGUGCAAAUGGCAUAUGCCAUUUCUGCAGAUGCUGCUGCUGCCGCUCUCAUAAUUAAGGAUCCCUACUUGCACUACGGCGCAAUGGCUGCUCGAGGAGAGAUCUUCAAGGCAAAGAAUGGACCUAUCAGCUACUGCAUGCUGCGCGGAUUCAUUGGUAACGCAAAUUACACAUGCAUGAACACCUUCCUACUUUGGUUGAGUAAAUACACUUACAACGGAGAUAAGUACGACGCGGUCGCCUCGCCAACGGGAGCAGCAGAUGACAAGUGCAGAGAUGAUGUGACCAAAGCACUAAAGCUGAGCGCACCUUGUGAAGCAAAUAACUGUACCUUCAAUGGCGCGGGGAACGGCGGCGGUGGUGCCGGCCAGGCCGACCUCUACGCAAGCUCAAGUUUCUGCUACAUGGCAUCAAGGGUUGGAUUGAUCGACAGCAAGGCUACCAGCAGGAAGACAACCCCUGCGGCAUACAGGGCCGCCGCCGAGAAGAUUUGCCUGUUUAGCUUGGAGGAAGCAAAGGCUUCGUACCCAAGGGCCCGAGCCACCGACGUGCCCUACAUUUGCAUGGACCUCGUCUACCAGUACUCCCUGCUCAUGGAUGGAUUCGGUAAGCAGCUACAUACAUUAUUAUUCAGUCUUCUUGGAUGCAUCGAUGGAUCUUAG
This 1416-nucleotide ribosomal RNA is filed under the name Triticum aestivum (bread wheat). RNAcentral's name for it is "partial small subunit ribosomal RNA". Lineage: Eukaryota; Viridiplantae; Streptophyta; Magnoliopsida; Poales; Poaceae. The record is from RNAcentral.